UAAUUGAGUAAAUUGAUUUGAUUUAGUUUAAUUAAACCCUAAUUGUGAUUGACCAGAAUAGACCAACAAUUUGAAGAUUAACUCAUUUUCUCAGCUAUAUAAGAUGAGGAAUCAAUUGUGAUCAGUAAAUAGUAGUUGAAAAAUUUUCAAUCAAACGAUUUCACAAAUUGUCCAACAAUCAAAGUUAAUCCAGUUCCAUCAUAAUGUUUUCAAAUGACAACUCGAAACUAAAUUGAAAAGUGAUCAAAGUAAAAAACAAUUCCAAUACAACUACCAGUCUAAUUGUUGACUGUUUAAAUAUUAAAUUGUUCAUUUCUCAUCUAAUUGUUUGUGUCUUCUUCUUAAUUAAUUGAUUGUGCUCAUCAAUGGGUCUCAUUGGAAGGAAAAAUAAAUUGUUUCUUUUACUAAUUACGAUCAUUAGUCUUCAGAUUAUAUUCCCUAAUUAUCCAACAUCAACUGAAGCAGGAAUGAAGAAGAAAUUGAAAAAACUGAAAGAAAUUCUUCCCCUGUUAUUGGCAAUGAAGAAGAAAAAAAUUAUCAUCAUUCCGAUUCCAAUUCCACUCAAAAUGAACUCGAUGAGCUCGUGGGGGGACAUGGGAGGUGGGAUGAUGAUGGGAGGGAUGGAUAUGUCCAAUGGUUGGAACAUGAUGAUGUCCGGAGGUGGAGGUGGAGGUGGUUGGGGAGGUGCAAUGGAUUAGAACAAUUAACAAAGUUAAUCAAGAGAAAUUUAAAAGUAAAACGAAUCAACAUUUUCUUUCUCGACGAUUAAUCAAUCAUAUUUAGUGAUUAGUUUAAUUUUCUAGUCUAACUUUUCUUAACCAUCAUUACAAUUAACGCGUUCAGUUUUUAAUUGUCAACGUUACAAAAUUUUCGUUUCAAUUUUUUUGGUACUUUUGUUUAUUAUUAAUUUUUGUUUAUCAAUUCCUGUUAAUUAUUAUUAUGUUUACAAAUUGUCAUUAAUUUACAAAUACAUUAUUUUAUAAAUAAUAAAGUUAAUCAAGAAUAAA
This is a long non-coding RNA of Panonychus citri (citrus red mite), 1007 nucleotides long. RefSeq lists it as uncharacterized. Lineage: Eukaryota; Metazoa; Arthropoda; Arachnida; Trombidiformes; Tetranychidae. The record is from RefSeq and is a predicted model, not a curated record. The transcript has 2 exons.